UACGGAGGGUGCAAGCGUUAUCCGGAUUUACUGGGUUUAAAGGGCGCGUAGGCGGACAGGUAAGUCCGUGGUGAAAUCUCCGAGCUUAACUUGGAAACUGCCAUGGAUACUAUUUGUCUUGAAUAUCGUGGAGGUGAGCGGAAUACGUCAUGUAGCGGUGAAAUGCUUAGAUAUGACGUGGAACACCAAUUGCGAAGGCAGCUCACUACGCGAUUAUUGACGCUGAUGCACGAAAGCGUGGGUAGCAAACAGG
This 253-nucleotide ribosomal RNA is filed under the name uncultured bacterium. Its description in RNAcentral is "partial 16S ribosomal RNA". It matches the Rfam family "Bacterial small subunit ribosomal RNA", at positions 524 to 776 of the family's 1533-position model. The record is from RNAcentral.